This is a long non-coding RNA of Mus caroli (Ryukyu mouse), 724 nucleotides long. RefSeq lists it as uncharacterized. The record is from RefSeq and is a predicted model, not a curated record. NCBI's taxonomy places the organism in Eukaryota, Metazoa, Chordata, Mammalia, Rodentia, Muridae.
CCUGCCAUUGCCCGAUGUCUUGUCUGAAGCAAUGUUAGCAUGAAAUCUGGACCCUCCUUGGCUCCCUGCUUCCACACCGGGCCAUACCUUCGAGCGAGAACUCCUCCCAGGAUGUGGUCCUGGGGCUCAGCCCUGAUGAGUGGGCACUUUCGGGCUGCCUAGGCCUGGAUGCUCCCACAGUGGAGCCCCACACACCUUCCAGCUUUAGAUCCUUCCUUGCAGAGACACAGCUGAGGUUGCUGGGCCCUCCUAGUCCUCAGUCUCACUGUCAGGUGAGGCUGAUGCCCCCUACAUUGCUGAGUGAUUAGAUUUAUGUACAAGGUCUUUCAUUGGCCUGGAACUCACAAAAUUGGCCCAGCUGGCUGGCCAGAAAGCUCCUGGAAUCUGUCUGUCUCAGACUUCCUAUGCUAAGGUUCAGCUGUGCAGAGGGGACUUGAAAAGACAGCCUGACUACCUCCCACCUACCUGAAAAGCCUCAAAGCUGGGGGAACCUAUCAGCAACUUUCCUCUGGACUGCAUGGGUCCUGUAGUUAAAAUACAGCUUGUGCAGGGCUGAGGACAUGGCUCAGUUGGUAAAGUGUCUGUCUAGCGUGCAUGAGGUCCUGGGUUCUAUCCCCAGUACCACAUAAACCAGGUGUGAUGGUGAGCACCUGUGGUCCUAGUACUUGCGGGGGUGGAGGCUAGAGGAACAGAGGUUCAAGGUCAUUCUGGGUUACUUGUGAGC